AGAGUUAAACAGUACGUGAAAUUGUUGAAAGGGAAACGAUUGAAGUCAGUCGUACCGAUGGGCACUCGGCCUCUCGGGUGGGAUCGUGUCAGAUGUGGGAAGAUCUCACUUUGCCACUGUUCCUGCCUCUGGGGUGUAAUUGUCCGUAUGGUAGGUUAACAUCAAUUUUGGUCAUCAUAAAAUGACGGGAGGAAUGUAGCUUCGAUCUCGUAUUGAAGUGUUAUAGCCCGUGGUAGAUGACGUAACUAAGAUCGAGGAUUGCAGCGAAUGCUUUUGGCUACGUGUCUGGUCUCUGAAGAAUUGUCAAUUGGUCGAUAGCUUGCUAACGUAUCGGUUGAUGAUUUUCAAAAGGUCCAGAACGCGUUAAAUUCGCUAAGGAUGCUGACGUAAUGGCUUUAAACGACC
RNAcentral lists this ribosomal RNA (405 nucleotides) under Halonatospora pansihalos. RNAcentral's name for it is "partial large subunit ribosomal RNA". Lineage: Eukaryota; Fungi; Glomeromycota; Glomeromycetes; Glomerales; Glomeraceae. The record is from RNAcentral.